Molecule: ribosomal RNA, 468 nt
Filed under: uncultured bacterium
Lineage: Bacteria
Description: partial 16S ribosomal RNA
Rfam family: Bacterial small subunit ribosomal RNA
Source: RNAcentral
GACGAACGCUGGCGGCGUGCUUAACACAUGCAAGUCGAACGGAAAGGCCCUGCUUUUGUGGGGUGCUCGAGUGGCGAACGGGUGAGUAACACGUGAGUAACCUGCCCUUGACUUUGGGAUAACUUCAGGAAACUGGGGCUAAUACCGGAUAGGAGCUCCUGCUGCAUGGUGGGGGUUGGAAAGUUUCGGCGGUUGGGGAUGGACUCGCGGCUUAUCAGCUUGUUGGUGGGGUAGUGGCUUACCAGGGCUUUGACGGGUAGCCGGCCUGAGAGGGUGACCGGCCACAUUGGGACUGUGAUACGGCCCAGACUCCUACGGGAGGCAGCAGUGGGGAAUAUUGCACAAUGGGCGGAAGCCUGAUGCAGCAACGCCGCGUGCGGGAUGACGGCCUUCGGGUUGUAAACCGCUUUCGCCUGUGACGAAGCGUGAGUGACGGUAAUGGGUAAAGAAGCACCGGCUAACUACGUG